GACGAACGCUGGCGGCGUGCCUAAUACAUGCAAGUCGAACGCUGAAGCGAGGAGCUUGCUCUUCUUGUAUGAGUUGCGAACGGGUGAGUAACGCGUAGGUAACCUGCCUUGUAGCGGGGGAUAACUAUUGGAAACGAUAGCUAAUACCGCAUAACAAUGGAUGACACAUGUCAUUUAUGUGAAAGAGGCAAUUGCUCCAAUUCAAGAAGGGCCUGCGUUGUCUUAGGCAGUAUGUGAAGUAACGGGGCACCUAAGGGACCAGACAUAGCCGAGCCGAGAGGGUGAUCGGCCCCACUGGGAAGGAGACACGGCCCAGAGUCCUACGAGAGGGAGCAGUAGGGGAUCUUCGGCGAUGGGGGCAACACUGACCGGGAGACGCCGCGCGAGUGAGGAAGGUUUUCGGAUCGUAAAGCUCUGUUGUAAGUCAAGAACGAGUGUGAGAGUGGAAAGUUGACACUGUGACGGUAGCUUACCAGAAAGGGACGGCUAACUACGUG
RNAcentral lists this ribosomal RNA (497 nucleotides) under uncultured bacterium. Its description in RNAcentral is "partial 16S ribosomal RNA". It matches the Rfam family "Bacterial small subunit ribosomal RNA", at positions 28 to 507 of the family's 1533-position model. The record is from RNAcentral.